AAGGGAAUCGAGNUCUCGGGCUUCGGCUCUCUCUCCCCCCUUUGUGAACGUACCUCUGUUGCUUUGGGGGCUCCGGCCGCCAUUAGACCUCCUAACUCCAGUCAGUAAACGCAGACGUCUGAUACAUUUGUUAAUAAACUAAAACUUUCAACAACGGAUCUCUUGGUUCUGGCAUCGAUGAAGAACGCAGCAA
This 193-nucleotide ribosomal RNA is filed under the name uncultured Ascomycota. Its description in RNAcentral is "partial 18S ribosomal RNA". The stretch from base 143 to 193 matches the Rfam family "5.8S ribosomal RNA", at positions 1 to 51 of the family's 154-position model. The record is from RNAcentral. Lineage: Eukaryota; Fungi; Ascomycota.